CCUACGGGAGGCACCAGUAGGGAAUAUUGCACAAUGGGCGAAAGCCUGAUGCAGCCACGCCGCGUGUGCGAUGAAGGCCUUCGGGUUGUAAAGCACUUUUCUGAGGGAAGAGGAAGGACUGUACCUCAGGAAUAAGUCUCGGCUAACUACGUGCCAGCAGCCGCGGUAACACGUAGGAGGCAAGCGUUAUCCGGAUUUACUGGGCGUAAAGCGCGUGCAGGCGGUUUGGUAAGUUGGAUGUGAAAGCUCCUGGCUUAACUGGGAGAGGUCGUUCAAUACUGCCAGACUAGAGGACGGUAGAGGAAGGUAGAAUUCCUGGUGUAGUGGUGAAAUGCGUAGAUAUCAGGAGGAAUACCAGAGGCGAAGGCGGCCUUCUGGGCCGUUCCUGACGCUAAGACGCGAAAGCAUGGGUAGCAAACGGGAUUAGAUACCCCUGUAGUC
This 441-nucleotide ribosomal RNA is filed under the name uncultured bacterium. Its description in RNAcentral is "bacterial SSU rRNA". It matches the Rfam family "Bacterial small subunit ribosomal RNA", at positions 338 to 795 of the family's 1533-position model. The record is from RNAcentral.